AGAAUUAUGUGGAUUAGUAUACUAGAAAUUCAAAGUUUUUGGCGGUUAAAGAUAUUUAGGGGAGCUUGUUCUAUCGUAAUUACUCGUUACAUUAAAUUUUAUUAUAUGCUUAUUUAUUUCCGUUAUUAGAACUUCAAAAUAAAUUAAAAUUUUUAUUUCAGGUCAAUGUGUAGCUUUAUAAUAAGGAAUUAGCUACAUUUAUAAAAUUAAUGGCUAUAAGUUGAAAAUUCUAUUAAAAUUGAACUUAAUAGUAAUUUUUCUAUAAAAAAAUGAAAUAGUCAUAUUUA
Molecule: ribosomal RNA, 287 nt
Filed under: Tithaeus kokutnus
Lineage: Eukaryota; Metazoa; Arthropoda; Arachnida; Opiliones; Tithaeidae
Description: partial 12S ribosomal RNA
Source: RNAcentral